GAUGAAGAACGCAGCGAAAUGCGAUAAGUAGUGUGAAUUGCAGAAUUCAGUGAAUCAUCGAAUCUUUGAACGCACAUUGCGCCCCUUGGUAUUCCAUGGGGCAUGCCUGUUCGAGCGCCAUUUGUACCUUCAAGCUCUGCUUGGUGUUGGGUGUUUGUCUCGCCUCUGCGUGUAGACUCGCCUCAAAACAAUUGGCAGCCGGCGUAUUGAUUUCGGAGCGCAGUACAUCUCGCGCUUUGCACUCAUAACGACGACGUCCAAAAGUACAUUUUUACACUCUUGACCUCGGAUCAGGUAGGGAUACCCGCUGAACUUAAGCAUAUCAAUAAGCGGAGGA
RNAcentral lists this unclassified non-coding RNA (337 nucleotides) under soil metagenome. Its description in RNAcentral is "partial contains 5.8S ribosomal RNA, internal transcribed spacer 2, and large subunit ribosomal RNA". The stretch from base 1 to 120 matches the Rfam family "5.8S ribosomal RNA", at positions 35 to 154 of the family's 154-position model. The record is from RNAcentral.